AGGAAUUGAAAUUACAUUUCUAAUGAUUUUUGGCAUAAAAUAACAGUCUUCUAGCUUCAAGAACUUUUCGAAGGGUAGCUCCAGUAUGUAGGUGCCAACAGCUUCAGCCUGGAUGGAUUCUCCUCCAGCGCCAUAUAGCUCGAAGUCACCUUUCUUCAGACUUCUAAUUUUCUGCAGUCCAUGCAAAGAUUUGCAUAUGUGAAAACCACAAUCAGUAUCCAAUACCCAUGAAUUAGAAUCAGAAGAACUUAAUGUACAUAUUGG
This 264-nucleotide long non-coding RNA is filed under the name Phoenix dactylifera (date palm). Its description in RNAcentral is "long non-coding RNA (PDAC_LNC009208)". Lineage: Eukaryota; Viridiplantae; Streptophyta; Magnoliopsida; Arecales; Arecaceae. The record is from RNAcentral.